GACGAACGCUGGCGGCGUGCUUAACACAUGCAAGUCGAGCGGUAAGGCCUUUCGGGGUACACGAGCGGCGAACGGGUGAGUAACACGUGGGUGAUCUGCCCUGCACUUCGGGAUAAGCCUGGGAAACUGGGUCUAAUACCGGAUAUGACCUCCUAUCGCAUGGUGGGUGGCGGAAAGAUUUAUCGGUGCAGGAUGGGCCCGCGGCCUAUCAGCCUGUUGGUGGGGUAAUGGCCUACCAAGGCGACGACGGGUAGCCGACCUGAGAGGGUGACCGGCCACACUGGGACUGAGACACGGCCCAGACUCCUACGGGAGGCAGCAGUGGGGAAUAUUGCACAAUGGGCGAAAGCCUGAUGCAGCGACGCCGCGUGAGGGAUGACGGCCUUCGGGUUGUAAACCUCUUUCAGCAGGGACGAAGCGCAAGUGACGGCACCUGCAGAAGAAGCACCGGCUAACUACGUG
RNAcentral lists this ribosomal RNA (462 nucleotides) under uncultured bacterium. Its description in RNAcentral is "partial 16S ribosomal RNA". It matches the Rfam family "Bacterial small subunit ribosomal RNA", at positions 28 to 507 of the family's 1533-position model. The record is from RNAcentral.